This 376-nucleotide unclassified non-coding RNA is filed under the name fungal sp. Its description in RNAcentral is "partial internal transcribed spacer region". The stretch from base 1 to 46 matches the Rfam family "Eukaryotic small subunit ribosomal RNA", at positions 1786 to 1831 of the family's 1831-position model. Lineage: Eukaryota; Fungi. The record is from RNAcentral.
AAGUCGUAACAAGGUCUCCGUAGGUGAACCUGCGGAGGGAUCAUUAACACGUUUUAACAACGUACCCACCAAAACAAUGGAAACAUGAGCGGGGAGAGAGGAAUAGGAAGUAAUAUUCUUAUGACUCCCUCCCAGCGCAGUUCUCUCCCUCCUAACAUCAUGUUCAUUCAUGUUGAUUUGGAGGCUCUUCCCUUCUGUUGACCCCUUUCCAACUUCAAUGCCUGGCCGCUGUUGACUUUGUUGACAGUUGUUUGUAUUGUUCUGUUCUGACCUGUAUUCUAUCUUGCUUGUGUAGCUUGGCUUGCCUUGCUACCAAAGCUUGCUAGUUGAUAUUUAAUGCAAAGCACAACUCUUAGCAACGGAUAUCUUGGUUCUC